UACGUAGGUGGCGAGCGUUAUCCGGAAUGAUUGGGCGUAAAGGGUGCGUAGGCGGCGAUGCAAGCCAGGAGUGAAAGCCCGGGGCCCAACCCCGGGACUGCUCUUGGAACUGCGUGGCUGGAGUGCAGGAGGGGCAGGCGGAAUUCCUGGUGUAGCGGUGAAAUGCGUAGAUAUCAGGAGGAACACCGGUGGCGAAGGCGGCCUGCUGGACUGCAACUGACGUUGAGGCCCGAAAGCGUGGGGAGCAAACAGG
This 253-nucleotide ribosomal RNA is filed under the name uncultured bacterium. Its description in RNAcentral is "partial 16S ribosomal RNA". It matches the Rfam family "Bacterial small subunit ribosomal RNA", at positions 524 to 776 of the family's 1533-position model. The record is from RNAcentral.